GAGAGUUACUCCUUUGUGAGUGAUUUUAAGUAGGCAUAGAGAAAGACUUUAGCGAGUAAAUUUCUCUAUGCUUUUAUU
RNAcentral lists this antisense RNA (78 nucleotides) under Lactococcus lactis subsp. lactis. Its description in RNAcentral is "counter transcript". It matches the Rfam family "ctRNA", at positions 4 to 80 of the family's 86-position model. Rfam says of the family: Rolling circle replication plasmids contain a number of mechanisms to maintain a low copy number. One of these methods is to transcribe a small RNA called ctRNA (for counter-transcribed RNA) than is transcribed on the opposite strand to RepB the replication initiation protein. ctRNA binds to the mRNA of repB and causes translational inhibition. The record is from RNAcentral. Lineage: Bacteria; Bacillati; Bacillota; Bacilli; Lactobacillales; Streptococcaceae.